AUCGAUGAAGAACGCAGCGAAAUGCGAUAAGUAAUGUGAAUUGCAGAAUUCAGUGAAUCAUCGAAUCUUUGAACGCAACUUGCGCUCUCUGGUAUUCCGGAGAGCAUGCCUGUUUGAGUGUCAUGAAAUCUCAACCAUUAGGGUUUCUUAAUGGCUUGGAUUUGGAGGUUGCCAUUCUAAAUGGCUCCUCUUAAAGGAGUUAGCAGGUUUUACUAUUGCUAUCUGGCGUAAUAAGUUUCGCUGGAAUGGUAUUGUGAAGCGUGCUUCUAAUCGUCUUCGGACAAUUACUUUGACUCUGGCCUCAAAUCAGGUAGGACUACCCGCUGAACUUAAGCAUAUCAAUA
Molecule: ribosomal RNA, 344 nt
Filed under: Apiotrichum dulcitum
Lineage: Eukaryota; Fungi; Basidiomycota; Tremellomycetes; Trichosporonales; Trichosporonaceae
Description: eukaryotic LSU rRNA
Rfam family: 5.8S ribosomal RNA (bases 1-123)
Source: RNAcentral